ACUGUUAAUUAAUUUAACAGCUAUCAGUUCAUAUAAAGACAUUUUAUACACUAUUUAUUUAAGUACUAAAUAUAAUAAGCCAAUCAGCCGGAAUCGUGGAGGAAGUGCGAGCCUAUUUUUUCGAGGCGGGAAUGUUUACGCUGCCGUCAUAUGGGUGACCCCCUUAAGCAUCAACAUUUUUUAAAGUUUGCGUAGAUCUGUACAGACCUUCAGAAAACGUAUUUUUCAGACGUGCAAAUUUAGAGCAAUGCUGGAUGAAGUAUAUCGUACGUAAAGUAGACUGUGUUGAGAAAAAAAUC
This is a non-coding RNA of Bactrocera oleae (olive fruit fly), 299 nucleotides long. The record is from RefSeq and is a predicted model, not a curated record. NCBI's taxonomy places the organism in Eukaryota, Metazoa, Arthropoda, Insecta, Diptera, Tephritidae.